Hemicordylus capensis (graceful crag lizard) is the source of this 4773-nucleotide long non-coding RNA. RefSeq lists it as uncharacterized. The record is from RefSeq and is a predicted model, not a curated record. NCBI's taxonomy places the organism in Eukaryota, Metazoa, Chordata, Lepidosauria, Squamata, Cordylidae. The transcript has 2 exons.
UCCUCAUGCCUCCAGACAGGGCCAACCAGAUUCCAGAUCUGUCUAUACUUUGCUGCGCCAGCCACACCCAACCCAGUUCCUGUCUCGCUUCAAGAUAGUCCACAAGCUGCCCAGUCUCUUCUAGCUUCUGGCUGCCUUGGGCUUGUUUUUCCUUGGCUAUCCUCUCCCUUAUUGGUUGGUGUCUCCCCACUUGUUCCGUUCAUGGAGUUUUCACACGGUGGCGACAUUCUGAAGGCCGCCCUUCCGGAGGGCCUCCUCUCAGAGGCUAUGUUGGCACCCGUGUUCUCUGCGGGGUCUGGGGCCGCUGCUGUGUGCGCUGCUGGGCUUUCUGAGGGAACGAUAGCUCAAAGCUCUUCUGAGGUGGCUCUGUGCCUAGAGCUCGUUCCGCCCUGAAAAGUGGCAAAGAAGACCCAACACUUCAAGGGCCCAGACGUGGCCCAAAAGAAAAAGGAAUGCAAGACAGUGUUCAAAAAGGCUUCUGAUGGAGCAGGUUAUUCUUUGUCUGGUACAGAUUUGGGCCGUAAAGCCGGGUCCUACGACGGAAUCAUGGCAAGGCAUGUUUUCUUUGCUCUUCUUGGUUCCAAAGAAGGAUGACACCUGGCUUGUGAUUCUUGACCUGAAACAUCUAAACUGCUUUGAGAGGAAGCGGACCUUCAGGAUGGAGUCCAUCAAGAGAUCGGUCCACACGGGAAAUUGGCUUUCAUCUAUAGACUUGUCAGAGGCUUAUCUGCACAUCCCAAUUCACCCGAGGUAGCGUCAUUUCCUGAGGUUUGCUUACAAUCAACAGCAGUUCCAAUACAGAGCAUUGCCUUUCAACCUGUCAUUGGUGCGCCGAGUAUUGACACCAUUGAUGGUAGCUAUCAUCGCACACACCUGGGAAUUCAGACCUAUCCAUAUUUGGACAAUGUGUUGAUCAGAUCAGUGUCCUACCAUCAAGCAAUCAGCAGUGUCAUGUGCACGGUCCACAUUCUGGAGGAACACGGUUUCAUUAUCCACCGUUUGAAGAGUCAACUUCAACUAUCUCACAUUCUGCUACAUCUGGGAGUGCUUUUCAAUAUGGAGUUGGCAUUAGUAUCUCUACCAGUAGAGCUUCAGAACACUGAUGACACCCAGUUCUACUUCUCCAUGUCAGCUUCUGCAGGUAAUGGCAUAUCCUCCCUAAAUGCCUGCCUGGAAGCAGUAAUGGGCUGGGUGAGGGAGAAUAAACUGAAGCUGAAUCCAGAUAAGACGGAGGUACUUAUUGUGCAGGGUCAGAACUCCAGAGACGAUUUUUAUCUACCUGUUCUGGAUGGGGUCAUACUUCCCCAAAAGGAACAGGUACUCAGUCUGGGAGUACUGGAUCCACACCUCUCCUUGGUUUCUCAGGUUAAGGCAGUGGCCAGAGGUGCUUUCUAUCAGCUUCGGCUGAUAUGCCAGCUGUGUCCAUUUCUCGAGAUCAAUGACCUCAAAACAGUGGUACAUUUGUUGGUAACCUCCAGACUUGACUUCUGUAAUGCUCUCUACAUGGGGCUGCUUUUGUACGCAGUCCGGAAACUUCAGUUGGUUCAGAAUGCGGCAGCCAGGUUGGUCUCUGGGUCAUCUUGGAGAGACCACAUUACUCCUUUGCUGAUGGAGUUACACUGGCUGCCGAUAGGUUUCUGGGCAAAAUACAAAGUGCUAGUUAUAAAUGGCUUAGGUCCUGGGUAUUUAAGAGAGCGUCUUCUUCACUACGAACCCCACCACUCAUUGAGGUCAUCUGAGUAGGUCCGUCUCUAGUUACCGCCAACUCGUUUGGUAGCUACAGAGAGAUGGGCCUUUUCGGUCACUGCUCCGAGAUUGUGGAAUGCGCUCCCUGCUGAGUUACGAUCCUCCCCAUCUCUGGCUAUUUUUAAAAAACAUUUGAAAACCCUUUUUUUAAACCCAAGCCUUCUCAGUUUUUUAAUUAAAACAUACUGUUUGUUAAUUUUAUGGUUUUUAAAUUAUUGUAUUGUUUUAACUUUUAUAUGUGUUAUAUGUUUUGCUGUUUUAACUUUUUAUGUGUUUUAAUUGUUGUUAGACGCCCAGAGACAUAAGUUUGGGUGGGGUAUAAAUCAAAUAGAUAGAUAGAUAGAUAGAUAGAUAGAUAGAUAGAUAGAUAGAUAGAUAGAUAGAUAGAUAGAUAGAUAGAUAGAUAAUUUGGCUCCUCCCCCUAUCUAUAGGUUUCCCACUUGGGAUUUAAAUAAGCUUUUAAAUACCUUGACCAAGGCUCCAUUUGAACCUCUCAGUUCUAUUUCUUUGAGGUAUUUGUCAUUCAAGGUUUUAUUCUUAGUGGCGAUCACCUCUUCUGGGAGGGUCUCGGAGUUGGCUGCCCUCUCAGUGAGAGAUGAGUUGUGUAUUUUUUGAAAAAGAGUCCGUUGUUUUAAAGUUGGAUCCUACCUUCUUGCCAAAGGUCAAUUCUAUUUUCCACAGAAGCCAGGAAGUGGUGUUACCUGUUCCAAGCCCAUGCAUCCCAAGGAAUGUGUGUGGCAUAAGUUGGAUGUGCGAAGGGCUUUAAGAAAUUAUACCCACCAAACUCAGUCUUUGAGGAAAACGGACUCUUCCUUUGUUUCUUUUCAAGCAGGCUCCCUCGGGACCAAAGCUUCUAAAUUGUUUCUGGCCUGGUGGCUUAGGGCUACUAUAGCCUUGGCUUAUGAGACACUGAACUUACCUGUGCCCAGAGGUGUCAUGGCACAUUCAACGAGAAGUGCGGCUGCAUCGGCAGCUUUCUCAGCAAGAGCUGCCCUGGAGGAGAUUUGUGAAGCGGCCACAUGGAGUUCUGUUUCUCCUUUUGUGAGACACUAUAAGAUUUCUUCCUUCUAGGAUCCGCAGGCAGUGGUUGGAAGGACAAUUCUGCCGUGGGUGGUCUAGGCAUCCGCACCCCGCUCUUGAUUUCAUUCAGCUUGGGUAUGUCCCGUCAAGUUAGGAUGCCCUCCCCAUUCCUCGGGAAAAGAACCAUUGGUAGACUUACUGUGAAUUGUUCUUUUUCGAGGUAUGGGGAGGGCAUCUUGCCCUCCCACGGAUGCUGGGAAAGGAACUCCCAGGGUUCAAGAUUGUGCUAUCCCUGUUUUUUCUCUUCCUUUGGAGGUCUCUGGAUUGUCCCUGGUUGACCUUUCUUCUGUUCUUGUUCAUUCUGUUUCUCCGGUGGUUGAAAGCCAGAGUUUAUUCUCCAGUGUGGGGCUACAGGUUUUUCGCUCGCAGUCCUGGAACUGGGUUGGGUGUGGCUGCUCAGCAUAGUAUAGACAGAUCUGAAAUCUGAUUGGCCCUGUCUUGAAGCAUGAGAAGGCUGACAACCCGUCACGUUAGGAUUAGGGAUGUGCACAAAACCGGUUUGCCCAGUUCCGUUUGAAUUCGAACUGGGUUCAAACCAGGAGGGGGUGGUUCGGUUUUGGUUUUGCUCAAACACACACACACACACGGUUUGGUUCAAACUGGUUUAAACCAGUUCAAACCGGUUUGAAUUGAACCACCCACAGUUUGGUUCAAAUUCGAACCUGCAGCUCAAACCUGAUGGCUGGUUUGGUUCAAAUUCAAACCAUGAACCACCCCGGUUCGAGUUUGAACCAGUUUGCACAUCUCUAGUUAGGAUGCCCUCCCCAUACCACAAAAAGGACAAUUCACUGUAAGGCUACAAAUGUUUCUUGUCCUCUCCUUUCUCCCCUUCCGCCUUUCUUUCUCUCUCCCUCCUCUCCCCCCCCUCACAUUUUCUUUUUCUAUCCCUCUUUCUUUUCCCCUUUCUCUCUCACCUUUCCUUUUCUCAUCCCCUCCCCCUUCUUUUCUCUCCCCCUUUCUUUUUUCUCCCCCUUUCUCUCUCUCUCUCUCUUUCUCUCUCCCUUUCUCUCUCUCCCUUUCUCUCUAUCUCUUUCUCUCUCCCCCUUCUCUUUAUCUCUCUCUCCCUUUCUCUCUCUCUCCCCCCCUUUCUCUUUCUCUCCCUUUCUUUCUCAUUCACACACUCUCCUUCUCCCUCUCGCUCCUUCUCCCUCGCUCUCCCCCUUUGUCUCUCUCUUUCUCUCUCUCCCUUUCUCCCCCCCCUCUCUCUCUCUUUCUCUGUCUUCCUUUCUCUUUCCCUCUCUCUCCCUUUCACUUUCACUUUCUCUCUCUCCCUUUCUCUUUCCCUCUCCCCCUCCCCUCCCCUUUCCCCUCCCUCCCUCCCCUCCCCUCCCCUCCCCCUCCCCUCUCCCUUCCCCCUCCCCUUCCCCUCCCCUCUCCCUCCCCUUCCCUUCCCCUCCCCUCCCCUCCCCUCCCCCCUCCCCUUCUUUAUCUAGGAUACUCAUGGGAGAGUCCACCUUUGACCAAGAUAAUAUGCAACACCAUUUCAAGGACUGUGCAUCAAAGGCUGGAAGUAGCUUCCCACAGCCUAAAGCCAACUCUUGCUUUCCUUGGGCAUUGCCUGCCUGCACUGGUUUCCCUCCUUGUCUCUGCUGCCUUGACCUCACCCGCCCCAAAGCAGAUGCCCCAUUAUAGGUGGCGAAAUGCUUUGUCUUUUGAUGCAACUUGACUCUCUUUCAAGUGUGGGGCUGUGUGUGUCCAGCACACAGCUCAUCAUGGGAAACUCUGAGCUCGCAUCCAGACUUCUGCAGGGAAUUGAUUUAUUAUGAUGAUAAUUUUUGGAGUGUCCCAUGUUGGGCCACACACUGGAUACUUGGAGCUGUUUUGUUUUUAUUUCUCACAGUUUGUAUCCAAUACUGAAUGUCUCUGUGUUUUGUAUCCUCUCCCUUUCCGCCCUCUAUCCUCCCCGCAGCCCUUCACUGACUUUAAUAAAAGCACACCAGACUCUAA